RNAcentral lists this ribosomal RNA (119 nucleotides) under Pteropus alecto (black flying fox). The record is from RNAcentral. Lineage: Eukaryota; Metazoa; Chordata; Mammalia; Chiroptera; Pteropodidae.
GUCCAUGGCCAUGCCACCCUGAAAGUGCCCAAUUUCGUCUGAUCUCGGAAGCUAAGCAGGAUCGGGCUUGGUUAGUACUUGGAUGGGAGACCACCUAGGAACACCAGGUGCUGUAGGCG